GAAAUAGUUUCUUAAAUUCUUCUGCCUCUUUUCAGGAUGUUUACAAUCAUUGUUAAGCACAUAUACAAGGUCUUCAUGUAUAGGAAGUUUCAGUUUUUAUGCACAUAUGUUGUCUCCAACAGGAUUUUCCAUAUCAUUGUACUUGUAACUAAACAUGAUAAGAUUGUGACUUUUCCCCACCAGAAAAGAUGCUAACUCGUAUACCC
Molecule: non-coding RNA, 206 nt
Organism: Pelobates cultripes (western spadefoot toad)
Lineage: Eukaryota; Metazoa; Chordata; Amphibia; Anura; Pelobatidae
Source: the annotation of a GenBank genome assembly